This 465-nucleotide ribosomal RNA is filed under the name uncultured bacterium. Its description in RNAcentral is "partial 16S ribosomal RNA". It matches the Rfam family "Bacterial small subunit ribosomal RNA", at positions 338 to 795 of the family's 1533-position model. The record is from RNAcentral.
CCUACGGGAGGCAGCAGUGGGGAAUAUUGCGCAAUGGGCGAAAGCCUGACGCAGGGACGCCGCGUGAGGGAUGAAGGUCUUCGGAUCGUAAACCUCUGUCAGCAGGGAAGAACGGUCACUGUGCUAAUCAGCAGUGAAUUGACGGUACCUGCAAAGGAAGCACCGGCUAACUCCGUGCCAGCAGCCGCGGUAAUACGGAGGGUGCGAGCGUUAAUCGGAAUUACUGGGCGGAAAGCGCUCGUAGGCGGUAUGUCCAGUCAAGGGUGAAAUCCCCGCGCUCAACGUGGGAACUGCCUUUGAAACUGGCAACCUGGAGUGUGUGAGCGGAUAGUGGAAUUCCAGGUGUAGGGGUGAACUCCGUAGAUAUCUGGAGGAACAUCAGUGGCGAAGGCGACUAUCUGGCACAUAACUGACGCUGAGGAGCGAAAGCGUGGGUAGCAAACAGGAUUAGAUACCCGAGUAGUC